AGGAGGAACAACCCCAGUGGCGGGGCCAGCUCUGGAAACCUGGAUUCAGCUCCGGCAGGAACUCUUGUCUGCAGGGCCUGGAGGCUCCGGGGCGGG
RNAcentral lists this microRNA precursor (96 nucleotides) under Canis lupus familiaris (dog). Its description in RNAcentral is "mir-8834 microRNA precursor family". It matches the Rfam family "mir-8834 microRNA precursor family". Lineage: Eukaryota; Metazoa; Chordata; Mammalia; Carnivora; Canidae. The record is from Rfam by way of RNAcentral.